GAUGAACGCUGGCGGCGUGCCUAAUACAUGCAAGUCGAGCGAACAGACGAGGAGCUUGCUCCUCUGACGUUAGCGGCGGACGGGUGAGUAACACGUGGAAACCUACCUAUAAGACUGGGAUAACUUCGGGAAACCGGAGCUAAUACCGGAUAAUAUAUUGAACCGCAUGGUUCAAUAGUGAAAGACGGUUUUGCUGUCACUUAUAGAUGGAUCCGCGCCGCAUUAGCUAGUUGGUAAGGUAACGGCUUACCAAGGCAACGAUGCGUAGCCGACCUGAGAGGGUGAUCGGCCACACUGGAACUGAGACACGGUCCAGACUCCUACGGGAGGCAGCAGUAGGGAAUCUUCCGCAAAGGGCGAAAGCCUGACGGAGCAACGCCGCGUGAGUGAUGAAGGUCUUCGGAUCGUAAAACUCUGUUAUUAGGGAAGAACAAAUGUGUAAGUAACUAUGCACGUCUUGACGGUACCUAAUCAGAAAGCCACGGCUAACUACGUG
RNAcentral lists this ribosomal RNA (496 nucleotides) under uncultured bacterium. Its description in RNAcentral is "partial 16S ribosomal RNA". It matches the Rfam family "Bacterial small subunit ribosomal RNA", at positions 28 to 507 of the family's 1533-position model. The record is from RNAcentral.